This 253-nucleotide ribosomal RNA is filed under the name uncultured Flavobacterium sp. RNAcentral describes it as "partial 16S ribosomal RNA". It matches the Rfam family "Bacterial small subunit ribosomal RNA", at positions 524 to 776 of the family's 1533-position model. Lineage: Bacteria; Pseudomonadati; Bacteroidota; Flavobacteriia; Flavobacteriales; Flavobacteriaceae. The record is from RNAcentral.
UACGGAGGAUCCAAGCGUUAUCCGGAAUCAUUGGGUUUAAAGGGUCCGUAGGCGGUCUAAUAAGUCAGUGGUGAAAUCCUUCCGCUCAACGGGAGAACGGCCAUUGAUACUGUUAGACUUGAAUUAUUAGGAAGUAACUAGAAUAUGUAGUGUAGCGGUGAAAUGCUUAGAGAUUACAUGGAAUACCAAUUGCGAAGGCAGGUUACUACUAAUGGAUUGACGCUGAUGGACGAAAGCGUGGGUAGCGAACAGG